Molecule: ribosomal RNA, 401 nt
Filed under: uncultured bacterium
Lineage: Bacteria
Description: bacterial SSU rRNA
Rfam family: Bacterial small subunit ribosomal RNA
Source: RNAcentral
AUUGAACGCUGGCGGCGUGCCUAACACAUGCAAGUCGAGCGGCAGCGCGGGAGCAAUCCUGGCGGCGAGCGGCGGACGGGUGAGUAAUGCUUGGGAAUCUGCCUGUUAGUGGGGGACAACCCGGGGAAACUCGGGCUAAUACCGCAUACGCACUACGGUGGAAAGCCGGGGACCGCAAGGCCUGGCGCUAACAGAUGAGCCCAAGUCGGAUUAGCUAGUUGGUAGGGUAACGGCCACCAAGGCGACGAUCCGUAACUGGUCUGAGAGGACGACCAGUCACACCGGAACUGAGACACGGUCCGGACUCCUACGGGAGGCAGCAGGUGGGGAAUAUUGGACAAUGGGGGAAACCCUGAUCCAGCGAUGCCGCGUGUGUGAAGAAGGCCUGCGGGUUGUAAAGC